This is a long non-coding RNA of Tachysurus fulvidraco (yellow catfish), 607 nucleotides long. RefSeq lists it as uncharacterized. The transcript has 3 exons. The record is from RefSeq and is a predicted model, not a curated record. NCBI's taxonomy places the organism in Eukaryota, Metazoa, Chordata, Actinopteri, Siluriformes, Bagridae.
GGAUAUCUUUUUUAAAUUAUCCUCUGGCCUUAAUUAGUUAUUGAUUUUGUGUCUUUCCCUCAGUCUUAAUUAUGGAGCUUCAGUGGAUUUCUCUGUAGAGGAAGUGGUGUAAUGAGGACAGAUAAGAUAUGUCUUAAUGCUGAGAGGGUGGGGAAAAAAAAUUCUGAUUGUAUUUAAUGAGAUAAUAAAAUGUGACCACAGCAAAUGAGAAAGAACAGAGCAGAUCAUUUAACACCUCCUGAGAACAUGAAGAGCAGCUCUGUGACUUUUUGCUUGGGCCUCGUCAUCAUCAUGGCACUUUACUCUAGUGCAAUCCCUCAUAGCUUUGAUACCAGACCAUGCUGUUUCAAUUUCCAAGAAAAAAUAAUUAAUCCUAAAGGAAUCCUGAAAGUGAUGAAGACAGACUCACGCUGUUCAAAGCAAGGCUUCAUUGUUAAAAUGCUUAAGAGGGAUGUGUGUGUCCUGGAAAACCCCCAAAAAUAAAUGAAAACUACUAAAAUCGAAUCAAUCGAAUCGAACAAACUUUAUUAAUGGAACAAACUGUUGAUGCGUAAUGAAUAAAAAUGCAAUAAUGAUAUAACAAUUUUAUAAAAUGAAACUGUAUUAA